AACCUAGCACACCUGCGGUGUGUACCUGCGGAAGGAUCAUUACCGAGUUUACAACUCCCAAACCCCUGUGAACAUACCUAUACGUUGCCUCGGCGGAUCAGCCCGCGCCCCGUAAAACGGGACGGCCCGCCCGAGGACCCCUAAACUCUGUUUUUAGUGGAACUUCUGAGUAAAACAAACAAAUAAAUCAAAACUUUCAACAAUGGAUCU
RNAcentral lists this unclassified non-coding RNA (210 nucleotides) under soil metagenome. Its description in RNAcentral is "partial contains 5.8S ribosomal RNA, internal transcribed spacer 2, and large subunit ribosomal RNA". The record is from RNAcentral.